GGACUGUGGCUCAGUGGUAGAGUGCUCACCUCGAAUGCGUGAGGCACUGGGUUCGAUCCUCAGCACCA
This 68-nucleotide transfer RNA is filed under the name Marmota monax (woodchuck). Its description in RNAcentral is "tRNA.Ser". The stretch from base 5 to 65 matches the Rfam family "tRNA", at positions 6 to 65 of the family's 71-position model. Rfam says of the family: Transfer RNA (tRNA) molecules are approximately 80 nucleotides in length. Their secondary structure includes four short double-helical elements and three loops (D, anti-codon, and T loops). Lineage: Eukaryota; Metazoa; Chordata; Mammalia; Rodentia; Sciuridae. The record is from RNAcentral.